This 253-nucleotide ribosomal RNA is filed under the name uncultured bacterium. RNAcentral describes it as "partial 16S ribosomal RNA". It matches the Rfam family "Bacterial small subunit ribosomal RNA", at positions 524 to 776 of the family's 1533-position model. The record is from RNAcentral.
GACGAACCACCCAAACGUUAUUCGGAAUUACUGGGCUUAAAGAGUGUGUAGGCGGUGCUCUAAGUUCGGUGUGAAAUCUCCUGGCUCAACUGGGAGGGUGCGCCGGAAACUGGGGUGCUGGAGCGCGGGAGAGGAAAGCGGAAUUCCUGGUGUAGCGGUGAAAUGCGUAGAUAUCAGGAGGAACACCGGCGGUGUAGACGGCUUUCUGGACCGUAGCUGACGCUGAGACACGAAAGCGUGGGUAGCAAACAGG